CCUUAUCAAGAGAGGCGGAGGGACAGGCCCUGUGAUGCCCGGCAACCUAUGGCGAAGCCAUAAGGUGCCAAUUCCUGCGGUGCAAACCGAAAGAUGAGG
This 99-nucleotide non-coding RNA is filed under the name uncultured Acutalibacter sp. RNAcentral's name for it is "SAM riboswitch (S box leader)". It matches the Rfam family "SAM riboswitch aptamer (S box leader)". Rfam says of the family: The SAM riboswitch is found upstream of a number of genes which code for proteins involved in methionine or cysteine biosynthesis in Gram-positive bacteria. The record is from RNAcentral. Lineage: Bacteria; Bacillati; Bacillota; Clostridia; Eubacteriales; Acutalibacteraceae.